GGACUGCUAGCUCAGUCGGUAGAGCAUCUGACUCUUAAUCAGGGGGUCCGGAGUUCGAGCCUCCGGCAGUCCACCA
Molecule: transfer RNA, 76 nt
Filed under: Clostridia bacterium
Lineage: Bacteria; Bacillati; Bacillota; Clostridia
Description: tRNA-Lys
Rfam family: tRNA
About the family: Transfer RNA (tRNA) molecules are approximately 80 nucleotides in length. Their secondary structure includes four short double-helical elements and three loops (D, anti-codon, and T loops). Further hydrogen bonds mediate the characteristic L-shaped molecular structure. tRNAs have two regions of fundamental functional importance: the anti-codon, which is responsible for specific mRNA codon recognition, and the 3' end, to which the tRNAs corresponding amino acid is attached (by aminoacyl-tRNA synthetases). tRNAs cope with the degeneracy of the genetic code in two manners: having more than one tRNA (with a specific anti-codon) for a particular amino acid; and 'wobble' base-pairing, i.e. permitting non-standard base-pairing at the 3rd anti-codon position.
Source: RNAcentral